GAAAAGCUAUUUUGUUCUCUCCUAAAAGUAAAAGGUUUUUAUAUUUCUCAAAGGUGAACUGUUCUUCAGUAUAAAGUGGGGAAGCAGAAAGAGACCGAUUACGUCUUUGUAACAUAUACCACAAGAAACCCUGUUGCUGAGGAAGAAAGAAGAGGGCAUAGGGAGAGGACUGCAUCUGGCUAUCUGUUUUGCAUCCAGGAAUUUUGACAUUUUGAAACUUGUUUCCUUCCGAAGCAGAAUGAUUUGCAGCACCUUUGCAAAUCCUGAAAAGGGCGAAGCUGAAUUGUCCUGAUUUAUUCUUGCAUCCAAAGUGGCCAUAUAUGAGAUAUGUUGUGAUGUCCUAUAGAAUCAGCCACUCUGAGAUGUCUGCCUCUUUCCAGGAACAUGACAAAAACAGUGGCUGAUUUCAACAGGGUUUGAUGUCACAAAAGACAUGGACUUAGAGCAGUUUUUGUAGAAGUGGGUAACAAGAGAGGUGCUGGGAUCUCUAACAUACCUGAGUUCAUUACUAUAAAUUGCUAUCAUUAUCCUCAUAGCUUCUUUUUCUCUUGA
This 552-nucleotide long non-coding RNA is filed under the name Numida meleagris (helmeted guineafowl). Its description in RNAcentral is "lncRNA (ENSNMEG00000019289.1)". The record is from RNAcentral. Lineage: Eukaryota; Metazoa; Chordata; Aves; Galliformes; Numididae.